This 429-nucleotide ribosomal RNA is filed under the name Gemmatimonadota bacterium. Its description in RNAcentral is "Gemmatimonadetes bacterium partial 16S ribosomal RNA". It matches the Rfam family "Bacterial small subunit ribosomal RNA", at positions 355 to 776 of the family's 1533-position model. Lineage: Bacteria; Pseudomonadati; Gemmatimonadota. The record is from RNAcentral.
UAGGGAAUCUUCGGCAAUGGACGAAAGUCUGACCGAGCAACGCCGCGUGUGUGAAGAAGGUUUUCGGAUCGUAAAACUCUGUUGUUAGAGAAGAACAAGGACGUUAGUAACUGAACGUCCCCUGACGGUAUCUAACCAGAAAGCCACGGCUAACUACGUGCCAGCAGCCGCGGUAAUACGUAGGUGGCAAGCGUUGUCCGGAUUUAUUGGGCGUAAAGCGAGCGCAGGCGGUUUCUUAAGUCUGAUGUGAAAGCCCCCGGCUCAACCGGGGAGGGUCAUUGGAAACUGGGGGACGUGAGUGCAGAAGAGGGGAGUGGAAUUCCAUGUGUAGCGGUGAAAUGCGUAGAUAUAUGGAGGAACACCAGUGGCGAAGGCGGCCCUCUGGUCUGUCACUGACGCUGAGGCUCGAAAGCGUGGGGAGCAAACAGG